Molecule: ribosomal RNA, 439 nt
Filed under: uncultured bacterium
Lineage: Bacteria
Description: partial 16S ribosomal RNA
Rfam family: Bacterial small subunit ribosomal RNA
Source: RNAcentral
CCUACGGGUGGCAGCAGUGGGGAAUAUUGCACAAUGGGCGAAAGCCUGAUGCAGCAACGCCGCGUGAGCGAUGAAGGCCUUCGGGUCGUAAAGCUCUGUCCUCAAGGAAGAUAAUGACGGUACUUGAGGAGGAAGCCCCGGCUAACUACGUGCCAGCAGCCGCGGUAAUACGGAGGAUGCGAGCGUUAUCCGGAUUUAUUGGGUUUAAAGGGUGCGUAGGCGGAGCGUUAAGUCAGUGGUCAAAUUGAGGGGCUCAACCCCUUCCCGCCAUUGAAACUGGCGCUCUUGAGUGGAAGAGAAGUAUGCGGAAUGCGUGGUGUAGCGGUGAAAUGCAUAGAUAUCACGCAGAACCCCGAUUGCGAAGGCAGCAUGCCGGCUUCCUACUGACGCUGAAGCACGAAAGCGUGGGGAUCGAACAGGAUUAGAUACCCGUGUAGUC